CACAAUGCUGAUAGAAGAAGCAAUUGAAUUCUACAAGGAACAGGUGAAAUCUUCUUUCGAAUCUCUCACA
Amblyraja radiata (thorny skate) is the source of this 70-nucleotide long non-coding RNA. RefSeq lists it as uncharacterized. The transcript is spliced from 2 exons. The record is from RefSeq and is a predicted model, not a curated record. NCBI's taxonomy places the organism in Eukaryota, Metazoa, Chordata, Chondrichthyes, Rajiformes, Rajidae.